GGCAAGCUUGACUUGGUCGGCCAAAAGCCGUACUGAGCGAGCUUGCCUUACCUUCUGGGUCACUUGGGUGCUCUUAACUGAGUGCCCAAGCUGUCCAGGACCUUUACCUUGAAAAAAUUAGAGUGUUUAAGGCAGGCUUACGCUUGAAUACAUUAGCAUGGAAUAACGAAAUAGGACGCGCGGUUCUAUUUUGUUGGUUUCUAGAGUCGCCGUA
Molecule: ribosomal RNA, 214 nt
Filed under: uncultured fungus
Lineage: Eukaryota; Fungi
Description: partial small subunit ribosomal RNA
Rfam family: Eukaryotic small subunit ribosomal RNA (bases 92-214)
Source: RNAcentral